Long non-coding RNA from Metopolophium dirhodum (rose-grain aphid), 421 nucleotides. RefSeq lists it as uncharacterized. The transcript is spliced from 3 exons. The record is from RefSeq and is a predicted model, not a curated record. NCBI's taxonomy places the organism in Eukaryota, Metazoa, Arthropoda, Insecta, Hemiptera, Aphididae.
CCUACACACAAUGUAUUAGUAAGUUAGUUCGCUGUGCACCUUAGACCUCAAUACACACUACGAUUACCGGACUCCGUAUGACUACGAUACAGUUACAUGGUAUAAUAUAGAACAUAGUUGAUAUAUUUUUUUCACUUUACUCCUCAAAAAACCAACCAAAAACCAAAAAUGGGCGCUGAAAAAGUAACCAUGAACAUCGUCGUCGUCGGACAAGUCCAAUCUGCCAAGGCCAUCAAAUCGGUCGCCAAAGCCACCCCAGCCACCAGCCAAUUGAUGACCUGUUAAUAAUAUUCGUCAAGUCUCCAUAAAUCUCAAAUUCAAAAAUGCCAUAGUCCAAAACUCCAAACAGCACUAUAUAAUGAUAAUAUGUUAUUUAUUGUGUGUUGACAUCGCAAAAUAAAUCUACCUUUCUGUCGCUCAA